GCCGCGUGCAGUGAUGAAGGGCCUUCGGGUUGUAAAAGCUCUUUUGCCGGGAAAGAAAUGACGGUACCUAAAGAAUAGGCCCCGGCUAACUCCGUGCCAGCAGCCCCGGUAUUACUAAGGGGGCAAGCGUUGCUCGGAUUUACUGGGCGUAAAGGGUGCGUAAGCGGUUUGUUAAGUCAGGGGUGAAAUCCGGGGGCUCAACCUGGGAACUGCCUUCGAGACUGAAAGACUUGAGUACGGUAGAGGUGGGUGGAAUUGCCAGUGUAAAGGUGAAAUGCGUAAAUAUUGGGAAGAACACCAAUGGCGAAGGCGGCUCACUGGCCCGAUACUGACGCUGAGGCCCGAAAGCGUGGGGAGCAAACAGGAUUAAAUACCCCUGGGAG
This 383-nucleotide ribosomal RNA is filed under the name uncultured bacterium. RNAcentral describes it as "bacterial SSU rRNA". It matches the Rfam family "Bacterial small subunit ribosomal RNA", at positions 396 to 793 of the family's 1533-position model. The record is from RNAcentral.